RNAcentral lists this ribosomal RNA (356 nucleotides) under uncultured bacterium. RNAcentral describes it as "partial 16S ribosomal RNA". It matches the Rfam family "Bacterial small subunit ribosomal RNA", at positions 338 to 686 of the family's 1533-position model. The record is from RNAcentral.
CCUACGGGAGGCAGCAGUGGGGAAUAUUGCGCAAUGGGCGAAAGCCUGACGCAGCAACGCCGCGUGAGGGAUGAAGGUCUUCGGAUCGUAAACCUCUGUCAGCAGGGAAGAACGGUCACUGUGCUAAUCAGCAGUGAAUUUACGGUACCUGCAAAGGAAGCACCGGCUAACUCCGUGCGAGCAGCCGCGGGAAUACGGAGGGUGCGAGCGUUCAUCGGAAUUACUUGGCGUAAAGCGCUCGUAGGCGGUAUGUCAAGUCAAGGGUGAAAUCCCCGCGCUAAACGGGGGAACUGCAUUGGAAAGUGGCAAAGUGGAGUGUGUGAGAGGAUAGUGGAAGUCCAGGUGUAGGAGUGAAA